RNAcentral lists this unclassified non-coding RNA (563 nucleotides) under Dermacentor andersoni. RNAcentral's name for it is "galectin-3-like". Lineage: Eukaryota; Metazoa; Arthropoda; Arachnida; Ixodida; Ixodidae. The record is from RNAcentral.
CGAAUUGCAGCAGCUGUCCGGCCCUACUUGUCCCUUUGAUCGCGUCAGCGCUGGCCUCUUCGGAGAGCUUCCCUGCCGCUCCACGGCGUUCGCAGUCAACGCCCAGUCGUACGGAGGGGGCAUUCGACGGGUACCCGGAGACUUCUCGGAGGGUCGGCCGGGUGGACUGGUACCUGGAGGCGGCUUCGGCGGAGAGGUAGCCGGUGGCUUUCCGGGCGGCUAUCCCGAGCGAGGUCCUGAAAGGUUUCCAGAAGCCGUGUCGGGAAGCUAUCCCGGCAGGAGGCCGGAAAGAUUUCCAGGUCGGGAUGUCUACCCAGGAGGCUUCCCGGGUGGAACUAACCCGACACUUUGCGGAGAUCGCAUCUGCCCCAUUGGAACUCGUUGUGUGGUGCACCAGGCUCGUUGUGUGCGACAGCCGUGCAAGCCUAUCCGAACUUGUGUCUCCUAGGAGAUGCACCAUUAUGCACGUCAAGACUCCAGAAACCUGAUAUCUACAAGCAAUUCUCAAAACAUGUUAAAUAAAAGGAAGUUCUGGCUACGGUUCGACUCGUAAUUACACCUUA